Molecule: ribosomal RNA, 776 nt
Filed under: uncultured Neocallimastigales
Lineage: Eukaryota; Fungi; Neocallimastigomycota; Neocallimastigomycetes; Neocallimastigales
Description: partial large subunit ribosomal RNA
Rfam family: Eukaryotic large subunit ribosomal RNA
Source: RNAcentral
UGAGACUCUGUGCGCGUGCAUAUCAAUAAGCGGAGGAAAAGAAACUAACUAGGAUUCCCUCAGUAACGGCGAGUGAAGCGGGAAGAGCUCAAAUUUGAAAUCUUCAAGGUUUUACCUUGACGAAUUGUAGUUUAAAGAAGUGUUUUCUGUUGGUGUUUUGGUAAAAGUUCUUUGGAAUAGGACAUCAUAGAGGGUGAGAAUCCCGUAUUUGACCAUUACUUCCAGCGUUGUGAUACACUUUCAACGAGUCGGAUUGUUUGGGAAUGCAGUCCAAAAUGGGUGGUAAAUUUCAUCUAAAGCUAAAUAUUGGCGAGAGACCGAUAGCGAACAAGUACCGUGAGGGAAAGAUGAAAAGAACUUUGAAAAGAGAGUUAAACAGUACGUGAAAUUGUCAAAAGGGAAGCGUUUGACACCAGUGUUGUUUUUCCGAAAAUCAAUUACGAAUGUUUUGUUUUUGAGGAGUUAUGACUUCAUCGGCUUGCUCCUUUCUUUACGAAACUUUCUUAAUGCACUUUUCGGUUAACAAGUCAACAUCAAUUUCUUUUGUUGUAAAAGGGUAUGAGGAAGGUGGCUUUCUUUUCGGAGAAAGUGUUUAUAGCCUUGUGCCUCUACAAUCGGAGAGAUUGAGGUCUGCAGCGUAGAUCCUUCGGGGUUAGAUACAUUGGUGCUAAGCUAUAGCCUUUUAUAGACAACUUGUUGACUAUGCUCUAGUCAUGUAGCUUACUCGCUGAUGCUAUUUUACCUACGCUUAGGAUGUUGACAGCAGUAUAGACUGU